GGGCCGGCUUUAGCUCAGCGGUUCCUUCGCAGCUUCAUUCAAUUGAAAACCCAGCCCCUCCGGGGGUUCGAGAUCCGCGGGCGCUAUCUGGCCUUUUG
This is an unclassified non-coding RNA of Chelonoidis abingdonii (Abingdon island giant tortoise), 98 nucleotides long. Its record names the gene Vault. It matches the Rfam family "Vault RNA". Rfam says of the family: This family of RNAs are found as part of the enigmatic vault ribonucleoprotein complex. The complex consists of a major vault protein (MVP), two minor vault proteins (VPARP and TEP1), and several small untranslated RNA molecules. The record is from Ensembl. NCBI's taxonomy places the organism in Eukaryota, Metazoa, Chordata, Testudines, Testudinidae.